This 253-nucleotide ribosomal RNA is filed under the name uncultured bacterium. Its description in RNAcentral is "partial 16S ribosomal RNA". It matches the Rfam family "Bacterial small subunit ribosomal RNA", at positions 524 to 776 of the family's 1533-position model. The record is from RNAcentral.
UACGUAGGGGGCAAGCGUUGUCCGGAUUUAUUGGGCGUAAAGAGCGUGUAGGCGGCUAGAUAGGUCCGUUGUGAAAACUCGAGGCUCAACCUCGAGACGUCGAUGGAAACCAUCUGGCUAGAGUCCGGAAGAGGAGAGUGGAAUUCCUGGUGUAGCGGUGAAAUGCGCAGAUAUCAGGAAGAACACCCGUGGCGAAGGCGGCUCUCUGGGACGUGACUGACGCUGAGACGCGAAAGCGUGGGGAGCGAACAGG